GUUUUAAUAGUUUAAACAAAACAUUGGUCUUGUAAAUCGAAAAUAAGAUUUUUCUUUUAAAACU
Molecule: transfer RNA, 64 nt
Filed under: Pseudothericles compressifrons
Lineage: Eukaryota; Metazoa; Arthropoda; Insecta; Orthoptera; Thericleidae
Description: tRNA-Thr
Rfam family: tRNA
About the family: Transfer RNA (tRNA) molecules are approximately 80 nucleotides in length.
Source: RNAcentral